GAUGAACGCUAGCUACAGGCUUAACACAUGCAAGUCGAGGGGAAACGAUAGAGAAAGCUUGCUUUUUCUAGGCGUCGACCGGCGCACGGGUGAGUAACGCGUAUCCAACCUGCCCAUCACUUGGGGAUAACCUUGCGAAAGUAAGACUAAUACCCAAUGAUAUCUCUAGAAGACAUCUGAAGGAGAUUAAAGAUUCAUCGGUGAUGGAUGGGGAUGCGUCUGAUUAGCUUGUUGGCGGGGUAACGGCUCACCAAGGCGACGAUCAGUAGGGGUUCUGAGAGGAAGGUCCCCCACAUUGGAACUGAGACACGGUCCAAACUCCUACGGGAGGCAGCAGUGAGGAAUAUUGGUCAAUGGACGAGAGUCUGAACCAGCCAAGUAGCGUGCAGGAUGACGGCCCUAUGGGUUGUAAACUGCUUUUAUAAGGGAAUAAAGUGAGUCUCGUGAGACUUUUUGCAUGUACCUUAUGAAUAAGGACCGGCUAAUUCCGUGCCAGCAGCCGCGGUAA
Molecule: ribosomal RNA, 508 nt
Filed under: uncultured bacterium
Lineage: Bacteria
Description: partial 16S ribosomal RNA
Rfam family: Bacterial small subunit ribosomal RNA
Source: RNAcentral